This 207-nucleotide ribosomal RNA is filed under the name uncultured bacterium. Its description in RNAcentral is "partial 16S ribosomal RNA". It matches the Rfam family "Bacterial small subunit ribosomal RNA", at positions 568 to 774 of the family's 1533-position model. The record is from RNAcentral.
CGUGUAGGCGGUCUGUUAAGUCGGCUGUGAAAGCCCAUGGCUCAACCAUGGAAGUGCAGUCGAUACUGGCGGGCUAGAGUCCCGGAGAGGGUGGUGGAAUUCCCAGUGUAGAGGUGAAAUUCGUAGAUAUUGGGAGGAACACCGGUGGCGAAGGCGACCACCUGGACGGGUACUGACGCUGAGACGCGAAAGCGUGGGGAGCAAACA